AGUCACUGCAAACCAUAAAAAUUCCAACGAAACAUCAAAACAGAAAAGAUAUAUCUUUUUCAAGUGAUUUUUACCGUAUUUAAUGAAUUUUGUGAUCUCAUUUGGAGUAUGCUCGUCAAAAGCCUAUAACACAAUAGUGAAUAAUUCAAUUUGUUUGGAAGUGUGUGUGCUUUGGCGAAAUUACGUUUCUGCCAAUUUUUUUCCUGAACCGGCUGAGGCAAUAGCGAAUAGAUGCAUGCAUUUGAACAAGCGGUUCCAGGGACUUUGGACUUUUGGCUGCCGAGAAGCUUUCCUGGGUAGACGACUCUUUCUGUCAAUUACGCGCAGAAGAUUGUUAGCAUCGAUAAUAGAAAUGUUUAAAUUGGUUAGACUCAGAUUAAGAAAUCUGGAAUUUAUUGAAACCUAUGCUUGGCUGGAAGUGUUUUUCCUAUCUUCAACCACUUGCAAAUUAGGUCGGCCUUUAUUUCCUAUUAUUAAAAAAGCAGCUCAUUUCUGGCGCCCAAUGUGGGUCCAGUUGUUUAUUAUCAAAUAAUGGUAGCAAGUUCUAUCAUCAUAAAAUAGAUAUCUCUACACGUUUUCGGAUAUCGAAGAAAUUCUCGGUAGCGCAUCGCAUACAGAGAUGCGGAAUCCGCUAAUCCGCAAGGGUGGAUUUUAUGAACAGGCUUGUUCAUGUUGCAUAUUAUUACGCGCAUACCCAACGUUUCUUUCUGCCUCAGCGAACGGAGAUUUGUUUUUGUAAUGGGAAAAAAAUCAGGGCAGUUUUCUAAAGACCAGCGAGAACUGUGUUCAGUGAAGAACUGACGUAGGACAGUUUUGUGAAGAGCUGUUGCCGGCAUCACACGACAUGAGGGAGUAAAAAAUGCAUAAAAAGAUUAUGUUGUGAUAUAUCAAGUACGAGUUAUGUUUGCCAAAUUAUUUAUUUAGUCGAAGUCAAUUUUCCGGAAAAUUGUACGUGCGGAUAUUCCAAGAUUUUACUUUCGACGGUUACUUAGAAUCUAGUGCAUGCGCUUCGAACAUUAGCAGAAAAAUGUUAAGAAAAAUCAAAUCACAAUUCCUACAAAAAAUCUACAAACGCAAACAAGUGCCAAGUACGGAGCGCGAAGCGAACGGGAAAAUAUAUAAUAGA
This is a long non-coding RNA of Hermetia illucens (black soldier fly), 1126 nucleotides long. RefSeq lists it as uncharacterized. The record is from RefSeq and is a predicted model, not a curated record. Lineage: Eukaryota; Metazoa; Arthropoda; Insecta; Diptera; Stratiomyidae. The transcript is spliced from 3 exons.